Molecule: ribosomal RNA, 254 nt
Filed under: uncultured bacterium
Lineage: Bacteria
Also listed under: 1 other name
Description: partial 16S ribosomal RNA
Rfam family: Bacterial small subunit ribosomal RNA
Source: RNAcentral
UACGUAGGUGGCAAGCGUUGUCCGGAUUUACUGGGCGUAAAGAGCGCGCAGGCGGUCGCUCAAGUCGCGUGUGAAAGCCCCCGGCUCAACUGGGGAGGGUCACGCGAUACUGAUCGACUCGAAGGCAGGAGAGGGUAGUGGAAUUCCCGGUGUAGUGGUGAAAUGCGUAGAUAUCGGGAGGAACACCAGUGGCGAAGGCGACUACCUGGCCUGUUUCUUGACGCUGAGGCGCGAAAGCUAGGGGAGCAAACGGG